Chelonia mydas (Green sea turtle) is the source of this 151-nucleotide long non-coding RNA. RefSeq lists it as uncharacterized. NCBI's taxonomy places the organism in Eukaryota, Metazoa, Chordata, Testudines, Cheloniidae. The transcript has 3 exons. The record is from RefSeq and is a predicted model, not a curated record.
GAGGGAGAUGGGCCUGGCUGCUGGGGAGCGUACCAGGGAACCUGAGGUGAAGCAGGGCUGGGGAAGGCCAGAGGAGCUGGGAGGCUCCAGACUGGAAAAGCCCCAGGCUGCAGACUUGGCAGAUGGCCUAAGACCGGGCAGCCGCCAUUCC